UUUCAGUUUGGCAGAAAAAUGCAAUAAAUUUAGAAUUUAUUUAUGAUAAUUAAAUGAUCAAUUGAAAG
Molecule: transfer RNA, 68 nt
Filed under: Amblyomma marmoreum
Lineage: Eukaryota; Metazoa; Arthropoda; Arachnida; Ixodida; Ixodidae
Description: tRNA-Leu
Source: RNAcentral